UUCCUUGGGCACCUGCCAUGCAGCAGGGCCCGAUUUCAGGGGCUGCAGCCAGCAGUGGAAGAAUUAGACCCAUCUGGAAAGAUGUGGCAGUUGUGGCAGAUUAAGUUCUCCGGACUCUCUCUGGUCAUUUGUCUGGAACCACUGGCUGUUCAGCGCAGGGAGUCAGGAGUCGUGGGCCACGCCUGCCACCAAGAGUGAAGACCAAGCAGUGAAUGAGCUCCGAGACUUCUCAGGCCUUCACCCCGUCAUCACUUCUGCUGGAGUGUCCUUCUUCACUGGAUCCACCCUCAGAUUCUCCACAGCUGCACUCCACCCUGCCCCCAUCCCACUGUUUCGCACCAGGGUGUAUACUUACCUCAUGCACCUACUCAACUAGACUUCCUGACGACACGGCUGCGCCUUGUCUUCACAGACUCCCCAGGACGCACGCAGGGGUAGUCGUCAGUUGGACCUUGGGUGAACAAGGAAGGAAGGGAGGGAGAGAAAGUUGAGGGAAGGAGGGAGUGAGGGAGAGAGCAAGGCAGAGCUGGGGGCUGGUGGACCAUUAUCCUAGGCCGUUCUCAAGUUGGGGCAGACCCUGUUGGUUCAUCUCUGCUAACAGAAUUCUAUCUUCGCCCUGCCCUCUUCUAAGAAGCCUCAUUCUUCAGUGGAGACUGUGUCCCUCUCAAGCCAUAAGGGUUGACUUCUGCUUAGACUAAGAUCACCAUGGUGGUCUUCUUCUCUUGGCCAGUGAGUGGCCUGGGUGUAGACAUAAGCCACAAACCAGCCACUGAGAUGUGAGAGGAGUUCUGAGAAAUGUCCCUUACUUUUAUAAAUAGACAGGGACCAGCGACAUAUCCCUUUCUUCACUUUGAACAUUGUUGAGUGAGGAUAUGUUACUUGGAGAGGUUGCAGCCAUCUUGCCACAAUGAGGUGAUAAGUCCUAGGUCCAUGGCCCACAGACUGAGGAUGGCAGAGAGGAAAGGCAGAAAGAAACCGAGUCCUUCAGGACAUGACUGAGAUGAUGAAUCAGGCACACACAACUGGACUGCCCUUUCUCAAAACAGUAGCGCCCUCAUUUCAAAACCGCUUUAGGUAGGGUUUUCUCUUGCUGCCAGCUGAAAGCGCUCUAACUGAUGUAGCAGAGGAAUAGGAGCUUUGGUCCAUACCACACAGAUCGGGGGAUUGCAAUGAUGGCAACGACAAUAAUAG
Molecule: long non-coding RNA, 1191 nt
Organism: Bos taurus (domestic cattle)
Lineage: Eukaryota; Metazoa; Chordata; Mammalia; Artiodactyla; Bovidae
Source: Ensembl